Molecule: ribosomal RNA, 778 nt
Filed under: uncultured bacterium
Lineage: Bacteria
Description: bacterial SSU rRNA
Rfam family: Bacterial small subunit ribosomal RNA
Source: RNAcentral
GGUGGUUUGUCGCGUUGUUCGUGAAAUCUCACGGCUUAACUGUGAGCGUGCGGGCGAUACGGGCAGACUUGAGUACUGCAGGGGAGACUGGAAUUCCUGGUGUAGCGGUGGAAUGCGCAGAUAUCAGGAGGAACACCGGUGGCGAAGGCGGGUCUCUGGGCAGUAACUGACGCUGAGGAGCGAAAGCGUGGGGAGCGAACAGGAUUAGAUACCCUGGUAGUCCACGCCGUAAACGGUGGGUACUAGGUGUGGGUUUCCUUCCUUGGGAUCCGUGCCGUAGCUAACGCAUUAAGUACCCCGCCUGGGGAGUACGGCCGCAAGGCUAAAACUCAAAGAAAUUGACGGGGGCCCGCACAAGCGGCGGAGCAUGUGGAUUAAUUCGAUGCAACGCGAAGAACCUUACCUGGGUUUGACAUGCACAGGACGCCGGCAGAGAUGUCGGUUCCCUUGUGGCCUGUGUGCAGGUGGUGCAUGGCUGUCGUCAGCUCGUGUCGUGAGAUGUUGGGUUAAGUCCCGCAACGAGCGCAACCCUUGUCUCAUGUUGCCAGCGGGUAAUGCCGGGGACUCGUGAGAGACUGCCGGGGUCAACUCGGAGGAAGGUGGGGAUGACGUCAAGUCAUCAUGCCCCUUAUGUCCAGGGCUUCACACAUGCUACAAUGGCCGGUACAAAGGGCUGCGAUGCCGCGAGGUUAAGCGAAUCCUUUUAAAGCCGGUCUCAGUUCGGAUCGGGGUCUGCAACUCGACCCCGUGAAGUCGGAGUCGCUAGUAAUCGCAGAUC